GAUGAACGCUGGCGGCGUGCCUAAUACAUGCAAGUCGAGCGAACAGACGAGGAGCUUGCUCCUCUGACGUUAGCGGCGGACGGGUGAGUAACACGUGGAUAACCUACCUAUAAGACUGGGAUAACUUCGGGAAACCGGAGCUAAUACCGGAUAAUAUAUUGAACCGCAUGGUUCAAUAGUGAAAGACGGUUUUGCUGUCACUUAUAGAUGGAUCCGCGCCGCAUUAGCUAGUUGGUAAGGUAACGGCUUACCAAGGCGACGAUGCGUAGCCGAUCUGAGAGGGUGAUCGGCCACCCUGGAACUGAGACACGGUCCAGACUCCUACGGGAGGCAGCAGUAGGGAAUCUUACGCAAUGGGCGAAAGCUUGACGGAGCAACGCCGCGUGAGAGAUGAAGGUCUUCGGAUCGUAAAACUCUGUUAUUAGGGAAGAACAAAUGUGUAAGUAACUAUGCACGUCUUGACGGUACCUAAUCAGAAAGCAACGGCUAACUACGUG
This 497-nucleotide ribosomal RNA is filed under the name uncultured bacterium. RNAcentral describes it as "partial 16S ribosomal RNA". It matches the Rfam family "Bacterial small subunit ribosomal RNA", at positions 28 to 507 of the family's 1533-position model. The record is from RNAcentral.